ACUCAUCUUUCUUCACACUCGUAACUCCCUCACUCUGAAAGAACGAAAUGGCGGUGGCGGAGAAUCCAUCUUCUCCGACCAAAUCGAAGCUUCCGGCCACCGCAAGCAAUACGCUCUCGUCUCUUCUCCCACAUCUUUCUGAUUCGCUCUCAUCUCGCGUCUCUCUUCUAUCCCAAUCCAGACUCUAAUCUCUAUUUCAACCUUAAAGCCCUAAAUCUAAAACCGCUCUAAGAGUGCGGGUUCAAUCGAGCGUUAUGGGAUUAACAUUCAACAGAUUUCAGGAAACGUCAUAACAUCAAGAAAAGAAGAAAAAGGUAGAAGAUUGUAAAGAAUCAUGGUGAAGCCUACCUACGGAACGGAGGCUUGUUCCGGAAUUUGUUGAAUCGUGAAGCUGAAGCUGAACUGAAGAGAAACCCAGAGAUGAGGUUGAUGUUGAAUUGUUGUUGAAACUGAAUCAUUGUUGGCAAUCCGAAUAUUGAGUUGCGUUGUUGAAGUUGUAGGAGCAAUGAAGGUUGAUGAUGACGAUGAGAAGGAAGAUUAGAGAAUUCUGAGGAUCGAAUGAAGGUUUGACAUGAGAGAGGACCAUUAUCAGUGAUGAACUGCAUAAUGAACGAGAAAGAUUGAAAGGCUUAGGGAUGAUGAUUGGAGAAAGUGAUGAAGAAUGUGAAGAUGUGAAGUAGAAGAUGAAGGUGGAAUGAAAAUGGUGAUGAACUGAUGCAGAGAUUGUAUGUUGAUGAAUGUGGAGGUUCUGGAAGCAGAGUGGUGAAGAGGAAUCAAAUGGUGAAGAGUGUCUGUUAUAUAGAGGAGAGUUGAAUUCAGUUGGAGGAGAAGAAGAGAUGGAAAAAGGAUAACUUAUCUUGAAUAUGGGUGCAAGUUUACAAGUUGAGGAUGCAAGAUGGCUUGAAGUGAUGGGGAAGAAAAGGAGGCUGAAAUAUGAGCAGGAGAAUCGGAACAGGGAACAAGCCUUCAAGCUUCCAUUGGUCUUUGGCCAAAGCAAUAUUAUUAUUUUUAAUUCCUUUAAUGAAUUUUCCUUUUGACUCAACUUGUAAUGCCCCACUUGGAUCAGAUUGAAUAUUAAAAUGUAACUUGCAACUUGUUUUCCGGGUAAUUACGUGCUUUGAAUACUUUGGAUUCACAGUACCAUGUAAUCAUUAAUAAAUCUCUAUCUUCAGUUAA
Vicia villosa (hairy vetch) is the source of this 1176-nucleotide long non-coding RNA. RefSeq lists it as uncharacterized. Lineage: Eukaryota; Viridiplantae; Streptophyta; Magnoliopsida; Fabales; Fabaceae. The record is from RefSeq and is a predicted model, not a curated record. The transcript is spliced from 3 exons.